GCCAGGUAUGGUGGUGUGCACCUGUAGUCCCAGCUACUAGGGAGGCUGAGGUAGGAGGAUUGCUUGAACCCAGGAGGCCAAGGCUGUAGUGAGCUGUGAUCACACCACUGCACUCUAGCCUGGGUGACAGAGUAAGACCCUGUCUCAA
This is an unclassified non-coding RNA of Papio anubis (olive baboon), 148 nucleotides long. It matches the Rfam family "Metazoan signal recognition particle RNA". From Rfam's summary of the family: The signal recognition particle (SRP) is a universally conserved ribonucleoprotein. It is involved in the co-translational targeting of proteins to membranes. NCBI's taxonomy places the organism in Eukaryota, Metazoa, Chordata, Mammalia, Primates, Cercopithecidae. The record is from Ensembl.